UCAGCUGAGGCUGUCACGGUGAAGGAAUUUCCACUGCAAUAUGCUUUAUUAUUAUCUUUUCAGUUUUGCAAAUGACUGCUUUGAUCCUGAUUUUAGUGCCGUAUAAGUAAGCGUUAUUGUUAGGUUGUCAUUAGGUAUAGUGCUGCUUUUUAAGAUGACAGUUUUAAAACAAAUUCAAUAAUUAGUUUAUCGUUAAAUGCAGAACACAGAAGGGCAACGAGGAGCAGCGUUUUUUUACCGCUGAUAUUCUUUGGUCGCGUCUGGUUGCGAUGAUACGGAAGUAGAAAUAUGGGCACAAGGUGGCAUACUUCCUGUGGAUGAAGGGAAGGCUGGAGCACGUAGAGAGAGAGGACGGACCUGCCGGUCUAUCUGGAGUCAUUUCUCCUCCAUUGUUGUUGUCGUCCACUGACAGUGACGAGCGGAGUGUUUUACCCAAAGUUGAACAUUUAUGAACUCAGCGACCAGAAAAAAACCCACCAAACGUGCAGCGUUCAGAGCCGUAUAGACGCUCAGCGCCUCGUUAAACUGCCGCCUUUUGUAGCAUGAUGUAAAUAUGCGGCGCUCCGGUUGCUAAUAACUAAAAAAAUUAUAAAAAACAUGA
Sebastes umbrosus (honeycomb rockfish) is the source of this 601-nucleotide long non-coding RNA. RefSeq lists it as uncharacterized. Lineage: Eukaryota; Metazoa; Chordata; Actinopteri; Perciformes; Sebastidae. The record is from RefSeq and is a predicted model, not a curated record. The transcript is spliced from 2 exons.